RNAcentral lists this long non-coding RNA (1746 nucleotides) under Gallus gallus (chicken). Its description in RNAcentral is "lncRNA (ENSGALG00010026147.1)". The record is from RNAcentral. Lineage: Eukaryota; Metazoa; Chordata; Aves; Galliformes; Phasianidae.
UAAGGGCUGACUGCCACUGUGGAAGGAUCUCUGGUUGGAGAUUACUUUCUCGUGGAGGUUUCCUUGUGAGCCUAGACCUUCAAAGACAGUAAUGAAGGUGUUGAUUCAAGUUACUACUGAAGAGUGGUAGAAAAUUGGCCCAGCUGUAGGAGAUGAAGAAUCAGGAACAGACACUGAGGUAAGAAGCCUAUCCUGCAGUACCAGUCAGCCUCCAAGCUGACAACACCCAAGUAGCCUGCUGUCAAAACCUUCACUUCCUACUUGACAGUCUCUGAUGUUUUUAUGUGGCUGUUGGUAUAAAAUACUGCAUCAUGCUGCAUGUUAAGAAUGGGGAGUAAAUAAAAUAGACAUUGCUAUGAGGUAAAGUAACAAAAAGACUAUUACUAAAUAGUGUGAGAAAUUCUAUAUGACCCACAACAUUUUCAUAUUUAAUUCAAUAAAGUAAUCAAUUAUUCAAUAGAUGAAGCUGCCACAACUUUUCCACUCUAGUGCACUGGCAUAUCACAAAGUCAAGUGCUCUACUGGAAAUGAGCAGGACCACAUAGUUAUUUAAAUACAUAUGUCAUACACUCACCUUAUUUAGUUAGAUCUGUGCAAUUAAUAGGUCAAACAUAUUUUGAGCCAAAUGCGAUAAUCUUAGUUACACUGAAUGCUUGCUUUACAACACAUGCAUUUCUACUGAAUUCAUUGAGGAUGUAAAUGAACAGAAAAUUUGUUAAAGGUUGUCAUUGGACCAUGACUGUUGCUUGUGCCAAGUCAUGUUAAGGGCAUGGUUGCCUUCUCCAGCCACCCUGGCACAGGCCUCCCUCCAGCCCAGCUGCUGGAGCAUGAUGUCUCUGCCCAGACUGAGAGAUAUGGCUGCCGCCUUCCCGUUUGUGGAUUCAGACAGCAGCGAAGCUGAGCACAUAGUCCAGAGACACAGUGACACAGCCAGAUGUUCAGAGUGCUGUGGAAAAGCACCUAUGUAUAGCACUCAUGUAAAACAUUAACACAGGCAGGCAAGUCUUCCUCCUUUUCAGCUGGCACAGGCAAUCAGUCACUACUUGGAGGCACGCACUGCUCUCUGUAUUCACAAGCACGUGUGUGCAUGGAUCCCUCAAGCAACAGCAUUUCUGCCAUUUUCAGUUGCACGUCAGGUCAAAUGGCAGCAUUGUGUUCAUGCAUCAUUUGUGUCAUGGCACAGAAUCAUAUCAUGGGGAAGAGCAACAGCAAAACACUGCAGAAGGAGAGGUUACAGUGAGGACUGUUUGAACGCAGGCCGUGCUUGGUUCAGCUACACCUUUUCUCCCUCCCAAGGACUUGCUGCCAGAUGGUUGGAGCUGGCAGGUCGUAGAGAGGGAGAGGUGCUGCAGUGCUUUGCAGCUAAUGAAUUACCAACAUAUGCAGCAGGAAGAGUGAGUUGGGGCCAAAAAUCAUAUCCUGAAUAAUUCAUAGGACUUGGCAUAUUUGUUGUGAGAAAAAUAAUUGAUUACAACAUAUACAUUUGUUUAAACUGUGUUGUUUUUCUUUACCUUUUGUGUGUAAAACAGAAAAAAAAAUGAGAAUAUAGUCUCCAAAACUUUUAAGAUUUCCUCCCCCUUUUCAAUUUUGUUUCCCCAAUGUUUAAUUAUGGUUUUGCUGGCAGUAAGUAAAAUUGGCACCCAGUUGUAAUUACUCUGUGUGGUCAUGAUUCCAAGAUGUAUAGAAGUUUAUUUGUGUGUUUGUUCAAAUUGCCAUUCUGGAAAUUAUCUUAAAAUAUAUUCUAUC